RNAcentral lists this transfer RNA (84 nucleotides) under Felis catus (domestic cat). It matches the Rfam family "tRNA". From Rfam's summary of the family: Transfer RNA (tRNA) molecules are approximately 80 nucleotides in length. Their secondary structure includes four short double-helical elements and three loops (D, anti-codon, and T loops). Lineage: Eukaryota; Metazoa; Chordata; Mammalia; Carnivora; Felidae. The record is from Rfam by way of RNAcentral.
GCCUGGAUGGCUCAGUCAGUUGAGCAACUGAUUUUGGUUCAGGUCAUGAUCUCACGUUUCGUGGGUUCGAGCCCACGUCAGGUU